This is a long non-coding RNA of Maniola jurtina (meadow brown), 402 nucleotides long. RefSeq lists it as uncharacterized. The record is from RefSeq and is a predicted model, not a curated record. The transcript has 3 exons. Lineage: Eukaryota; Metazoa; Arthropoda; Insecta; Lepidoptera; Nymphalidae.
GGUCUGUCAUCUGUGUUUUUUAGGUUAUGUUGAUUUUUCAAUAUACAAACUUUUUCUUUUUCAAAUAAAUAAAUAAUAUGGAUGAAAAAAGAAAAUGUGACCGAAAGAGAAAACGAUUUGCUGCACGUCUUAAAAGUUCCAAGGGAAUAUUGUGCACUGAUUAUCCGGGACCUAACAUAGUACUUUGCAAUGUUGGCCAGGCAACGGGUUUAGAGAAAGCUGAUAUACUCAAACUAUUAGAAGCUUUGCCGCAAAAUGUGAAACUUUUAAAGUUUAUAGCUGAGAAAGGUGAAUCACACUCCUACCUAGUGUUCAAUAGCACGGAAAGUGGUCAAUUAUUUUAUGAAACAUAUAAUGGGUCGAAAGCAUUUACUUGUGUACCAAUCUAUAUGAGCUAUGUUG